This 165-nucleotide non-coding RNA is filed under the name uncultured Mediterraneibacter sp. Its description in RNAcentral is "Lysine riboswitch". It matches the Rfam family "Lysine riboswitch aptamer". Rfam says of the family: Riboswitches are metabolite binding domains within certain messenger RNAs that serve as precision sensors for their corresponding targets. Allosteric rearrangement of mRNA structure is mediated by ligand binding, and this results in modulation of gene expression. This family includes riboswitches that sense lysine in a number of genes involved in lysine metabolism, including lysC. The record is from RNAcentral. Lineage: Bacteria; Bacillati; Bacillota; Clostridia; Lachnospirales; Lachnospiraceae.
GAGAUAGAGGUCGCAUUUUUCAUGAGUACGAUGACGGAUGUAUCAGGAACAGUUGAACUCACCGGAAAGGGGAAGAUGCCGAAAGGGUAAAAAUCCUGAAGUUUUAUCCUUGGGCAUGUCGUGAACAGCGGCAUGACUGUCAUCGCAGGAUGGAGUGCUAUCUGG